Molecule: non-coding RNA, 120 nt
Organism: Picea glauca (white spruce)
Lineage: Eukaryota; Viridiplantae; Streptophyta; Pinopsida; Pinales; Pinaceae
Source: Rfam
CCUAGAGGUCUUAUGUACAUUCCUACAACAGAUUCCAUUAGAACUAUAUAGUUAAGAGUGCUUGGGCUAGAGUAGUACUGGGAUGGGUGACCUCUAAGAAAGUCCUAAUGUUUUACAUGC